UCCCCCGUGGUCCGUGUGGCUGGCCACUGAGACUCUGAAUCUCAGGUACGUAGGUUCGACUCCUGCCGGGGGAGC
Molecule: transfer RNA, 75 nt
Filed under: Streptomyces phage NootNoot
Lineage: Duplodnaviria; Heunggongvirae; Uroviricota; Caudoviricetes; Stanwilliamsviridae
Also listed under: 24 other names
Description: tRNA-Gln
Rfam family: tRNA
About the family: Transfer RNA (tRNA) molecules are approximately 80 nucleotides in length. Their secondary structure includes four short double-helical elements and three loops (D, anti-codon, and T loops).
Source: RNAcentral